GCGAACGCUGGCGGCAGGCUUAACACAUGCAAGUCGAGCGGGCGUAGCAAUACGUCAGCGGCAGACGGGUGAGUAACACGUGGGAACGUACCUUUGGUUCGGAACAACACAGGGAAACUUGUGCUAAUACCGGAUAAGCCCUUACGGGGAAAGAUUUAUCGCCAAAAGCUCGGCCCGCGUCUGAUUAGCUUGUUGGUGAGGUAACGGCUCACCAAGGCGACGAUCAGUAGCUGGCUGAGAGGAUGAUCAGCCACACUGGGACUGAGACACGGCCCAGACUCCUACGGGAGGCAGCAGUGGGGAAUAUUGGACAAUGGGCGAAAGCCUGAUCCAGCCAUGCCGCGUGAGUGAUGAAGGCCC
Molecule: ribosomal RNA, 360 nt
Filed under: uncultured bacterium
Lineage: Bacteria
Description: bacterial SSU rRNA
Rfam family: Bacterial small subunit ribosomal RNA
Source: RNAcentral